GUGCUAGCUUUGGCAGCAGGUAUACUAAAAUUAGAAUGAUUCAGAGAAGAUUAGCAUGGCCCCUAAGCAAGGAUGACAUGCAAAUUUGUGAAGCAUUCCAUAUUUUU
Lagenorhynchus albirostris (white-beaked dolphin) is the source of this 107-nucleotide small nuclear RNA. The record is from RefSeq and is a predicted model, not a curated record. Lineage: Eukaryota; Metazoa; Chordata; Mammalia; Artiodactyla; Delphinidae.